GAACCUUCAAUGAGUGUCCAGUGGGAGGUC
RNAcentral lists this non-coding RNA (30 nucleotides) under Macaca fascicularis (crab-eating macaque). RNAcentral also lists the same sequence under 1 other name. The record is from RNAcentral. Lineage: Eukaryota; Metazoa; Chordata; Mammalia; Primates; Cercopithecidae.